GAUGAACGCUAGCUACAGGCUUAACACAUGCAAGUCGAGGGGCAGCAUUUUAGUUUGCUUGCAAACUAAAGAUGGCGACCGGCGCACGGGUGAGUAACACGUAUCCAACCUGCCGAUAACUCGGGGAUAGCCUUUCGAAAGAAAGAUUAAUAUCCGAUAGUAUAUUAAAACCGCAUGGUUUUACUAUUAAAGAAUUUCGGUUAUCGAUGGGGAUGCGUUCCAUUAGUUUGUUGGCGGGGUAACGGCCCACCUAGUCUUCGAUGGAUAGGGGUUCUGAGAGGAAGGUCCCCCACAUUGGAACUGAGACACGGUCCAAAACUCCUACGGGAGGCAGCAGUGAGGAAUAUUGGUCAAUGGGCGAGAGCCUGAACCAGCCAAGUAGCGUGAAGGAUGACUGCCCUAUGGGUUGUAAACUUCUUUUAUAAAGGAAUAAAGUCGGGUAUGGAUACCCGUUUGCAUGUACUUUAUGAAUAAGGAUCGGCUAACUCCGUG
RNAcentral lists this ribosomal RNA (492 nucleotides) under uncultured bacterium. RNAcentral's name for it is "bacterial SSU rRNA". It matches the Rfam family "Bacterial small subunit ribosomal RNA", at positions 28 to 507 of the family's 1533-position model. The record is from RNAcentral.